AGAACGAACGCUGGCGGCAUGCCUAAUACAUGCAAGUCGAACGAACACUUCGGUGUUAGUGGCGCACGGGUGCGUAACGCGUGGGAAUCUGCCCUUGGGUUCGGAAUAACAGUUGGAAACGACUGCUAAUACCGGAUGAUAUCGAAAGAUCAAAGAUUUAUCGCCCAGGGAUGAGCCCGCGUAGGAUUAGCUAGUUGGUGAGGUAAAGGCUCACCAAGGCGACGAUCCUUAGCUGGUCUGAGAGGAUGAUCAGCCACACUGGGACUGAGACACGGCCCAGACUCCUACGGGAGCAGCAGUAGGGAAUA
This 308-nucleotide ribosomal RNA is filed under the name uncultured soil bacterium. RNAcentral's name for it is "bacterial SSU rRNA". It matches the Rfam family "Bacterial small subunit ribosomal RNA", at positions 26 to 363 of the family's 1533-position model. The record is from RNAcentral.